GAUGAACGCUGGCGGCGUGCCUAACACAUGCAAGUCGAACGAAGCUUGACGGAUGAUUUCUUCGGAAUGAAACCAGAUAUGACUUAGUGGCGGACGGGUGAGUAACACGUGAGCAACCUGCCUUUCAGAGGGGGAUAACGGCUGGAAACGGUCGCUAAUACCGCAUGAUGUGUUCGGAUGGCAUCAUCUGAACAUCAAAGAUUUAUCGCUGAAAGAUGGGCUCGCGUCUGAUUAGAUAGUUGGUGGGGUAACGGCCUACCAAGUCUACGAUCAGUAGCCGGACUGAGAGGUUGAACGGCCACAUUGGGACUGAGAUACGGCCCAGACUCCUACGGGAGGCAGCAGUGGGGAAUAUUGCACAAUGGGGGAAACCCUGAUGCAGCAACGCCGCGUGAAGGAUGACGGUUUUCGGAUUGUAAACUUCUUUUCUUAGUGACGAAGACAGUGACGGUAGCUAAGGAAUAAGCAUCGGCUAACUACGUG
This 483-nucleotide ribosomal RNA is filed under the name uncultured bacterium. RNAcentral's name for it is "partial 16S ribosomal RNA". It matches the Rfam family "Bacterial small subunit ribosomal RNA", at positions 28 to 507 of the family's 1533-position model. The record is from RNAcentral.